RNAcentral lists this unclassified non-coding RNA (350 nucleotides) under soil metagenome. RNAcentral describes it as "partial contains 5.8S ribosomal RNA, internal transcribed spacer 2, and large subunit ribosomal RNA". The stretch from base 1 to 120 matches the Rfam family "5.8S ribosomal RNA", at positions 35 to 154 of the family's 154-position model. The record is from RNAcentral.
GAUGAAGAACGUAGCGAAAUGCGAUAAGUAAUGUGAAUUGCAGAAUUCCGUGAAUCAUCGAAUUUUUGAACGCAUAUUGCGCCCUCUGGUAUUCCGGAGGGCAUGCCUGUCCGAGCGUCAUUUCAACCCUCGAACCCCUCCGGGGGGUCGGCGUUGGGGAUCGGCCCUUUACGGGGCCGGCCCCGAAAUACAGUGGCGGUCUCGCCGCAGCCUCUCCUGCGCAGUAGUUUGCACACUCGCAGCGGGAGCGCGGCGCGUCCACAGCCGUUAAACACCCCAAACUUCUGAAAUGUUGACCUCGGAUCAGGUAGGAAUACCCGCUGAACUUAAGCAUAUCAAUAAGCGGAGGA